UUUUUUCUUUUUCUGGGAGGAUCUGAAGUUUUUUUUUUUAAAAAAUUAAAAUACUAUAAGGAAGUAGAAGCCUAGAAAGACAUAAUUACCAAAAUAUUCACGUAUGGAAGAUAUUCGAUAAACACCUUAUUGAAAUUUGACUCGUCAGUAAAGAGUUUCCGAUAGAAAAUAUAUAUUUAUGAAUAGAAGAACACAAUUUACAUAAUAUCUUAGGGGAUCAUAGCUCACUUAUCGAAACUUAAGAAGGGCAUAUAUGAAUUGAAAUUUUUCUGUGACUUGCAGUCAAUUGUUAUUAUAUACUUAAUCGACUUACAUUAGUUUUAAAAAACUAUAAUAUAUAAUUGAUGAAAUGAAAAUAAACAUAUAACCUUACCCUGAUUCAGAUCAUCGAUAUGCCGCCCGCUUGUAAAGUAUAACCAUAAAAAAGUUUUGAAUUAAAAUAUAUUUUUUUAAAAAAAACUCAAAUUAGUUCAAAAAGGUGUAUAUCUAUCCUAACAAACUUUUAGAGUUGUGUGCGAGUUGCGGCAUUUGAAGAAAAAUUUGUCCAACAAAAUAAUCAUCACUCACACCUAACAAAUUUAAGUUUGUAUAAACAAAUAUCUUAAAAUUUAUCCUACUAGUCUUCCUAUUUUAUGUAACCAAACCAGCAGCCAACAACUUGUAAAUUACCCGUAAGACGCGGAGCCAGAAUUUCCUAAGGGGUUUAAAAUUUAUAGAAAUAGAUAUAUGAGGUAGUUGAAAGGAAUCGACAUUUACUAUAUUUAUACAUAUAAAAUUAUUUUAAUCAAAUAUAAAUAAUAUUACUUUCUGUUGAAGAAGGUUCGAAUAAAUCCCUUCCUACAAGGUAACUUAUCCCUGGCUACCAAUUAAGAUAAUUUAGGUUUAUGCGAAACUUCGAUAUGAAAUCAUUUUUGUUAUGAAUUAAAAUCAUUUAUAGUUACGAGGAUAAAUAUUCAAGGAAUUAGUAAUUGAAAUAACUGAUACUUUAGGGAAAAUCUGAAUAAAAAUUAAAACACGUCUAACUUAUGUAUAUAUGUUUUUUUUUUUUAAAUGUCAUAAUCAAAAGAGUCUGCAUUAUUAUUGAAUUAAAAGUAUAUAAUGCAUUGUUUUCUCCAAUCCAAUCCAAUUAAGUUUGCUACCAAUCCUCUAAUCCCUUAAAAAAAGUCGUUGCCUUAAGUGGAAAGAAAGGAAUAAAGUACGAAGAUAAACAUUUUUUGUCAAUAUACAUAUUUGUUUUUUUUUUGUUUACAAAGCUUUAAAGUAUUAUUUUCUCGUAGCUAUCAUGUGGUAUUUGGUAUUUGAGAUAAGUUUAAAUCACGUUACGAAAUUAAGCCUUUAAUAAAUUAUUUGAUACGUGAAAUGAAAUAAUCAAAAAUAUCUUCUGAGUUAAAAUAUUUCAUAAGAUAUUACUCUUAUCUUAUCUUUUAUAUAAGAUAAAACAAUGUGAUAAUUAAUUAACACCUCAAAUUAAAAAUGUGAAAGAGAGAUUAUUAUGUUUAUCCCAUUAAGCAAAGUACCAAUAUUCCAUCCCAAAAUCUUAUAUAUAUAUAUAUAUACUCAAUAACAUUGACAUAUCCUCCAAGACAACUUUAUAUUAUUUAAAUCUUCAAUUUCUUCUUUCCCCUCCUUUUAUACAAACAAUGGCUAGAGAACAAAGAAUUAUGAAGAUCAAAUUUGAGUCUCCAACAUCAGAAUUCUAUGCUCAAGUUAGAGAAAAAAGUAGUGUAAGAGAAUUGAUGAAAAUAAUAAAAAAGGUAUGGGGAGAUGAAUACAUGAGACUUUAUCACAAGUCUAAAGAAAUGAAAAGUGAUCAAUUUUUAUCUGUUUAUAAUAUCAAAGAUGGAUCUAUUAUCAAAGUUCAAGUUCUUGCAGAACCUCCCGAUCAUCAUCAUCAUCAAUCACUAAAUGAUAUUUGCACAAACAACUUCAAGUUCAUGGAGAACAACAAAAAAUUAAAUAGAUUUUCAAUUCUUCGCUUAAUUCAUUCUGUUUCUUAAAGUGUAUACCUAUAUAUAUAUAUGAUUGUUUCUCUAGUUUUAUAGUGAAAGAUCUUUUAGAAAUAUUCUCUCGAUCUUUAUAAGAUAGAGAUAAUAUUUGCAUACAUUGGAUAUGUUAUUAUUGUUAUUGUAAUAGUUUUAUGUAAUUAAUGAUUGUUCCAAAAUUUAUGCUAACAAUAUAAUGAUUCAAACUUCAAAGAAUCAAGAUUACUUCAUUUGUUGUAUGAGUAUAUAUUCCAUUUAAUUCUCUACACUCUUUUUCUUGUUGUCCUCGAAUGAAUCAUCUAAUGCAAUAAGAGAUGAUUUUUUUUUUUAUAAAUUGAAAAAGAUAACAGGACAAAUAAAUUGAAACUGAAUUAGAGGACUAACUAUUUGAAAUUGUUUUUAACUAAGAUUAAAAUUAAAUGGAUAAAAUGGGAUAAUUACACAAAUGAUUGACUAAAGUGAGAGUUAAAUAGUUAAAAAGGACUUCUUGUUAAAUAGGAGGACUUAAUUGGACCUUUUGAAAGUAUAUGGGGCCAAUUUUGACACUUUCAAAACCAUACAAGGGCUAAAAUUCAUUUCACCAUAUUUCCCUUGAGUCCUGAAGAACUUCAAUUUACACCUUUUGCCUCGUCGGAAAUCAGUCACUAUCGCCGGAAAACAUGUCUGUUACAUCUUUUCGCCGGGAAACUGCUCCUCUACUACUAACAUUAGUUUUCCGCCGGUAACUAUUGAAAUAAAUGAUUAAUGAUGGAGCUCGUAUGGUGUAUUUGCUAUGAAAAGGCAAAAAACGAUAUGCUUCCUUGUUCGAGUUUUUUCCGGCAGAUGGUUAAGUUUGAAGUGAAAUUUACAGUUUAUUCGAUGACAGUGGUAAUUGAUGAGUUGUGUAAAAUGGGGGAGUUUCAUAAGGCAAGAAAAUUCAUGGAUGAUAAAUUUGUGAAACCAAAUAGUUGCAGUUAUAAAAAACUAUUGAAUACAUGUAUAAAGAAACCAGAUUUUUUGAUUGUGAAGGUGAUUUUGAGGACAAUGGAGAAGGAAGGAUGGGAUUUCGACCCGAAAAGUUAUACACUUCUGAUUAAACGUUAUUCAAAUUUUGGAGAAUUUGGAGAAAUGAAGAGAUUAUUUAUGGAAAUUGAAGAGAAGGGUGUAAAGCCAGAUGUAUAUUUAUACACAUCUAUGAUUAGUGGUUAUUGUAAAUUAGGUAAUGUUAGGAAGGCAUAUCAACUGUUCGACGAAAUGACUAAGAGAGGACUUGUUCCUGAUGGUCAUACGUAUGGGGCUUUGAUAAAUGGGUUGUGCAAAGCUGGACUAAUGCAAGAAGCUGAAGUUCUGGUUAAUGAGAUGCAAAGCAAGGGAAUUUGGAUUAAUCGAGCUAUAUUUAAUACGAUGAUGGAUGGUUAUUGUAAGCAGGGUAAUGUGGAUGAAGCGUUGAGGUUACAGAGAAUUAUGGAGGAUGAAGGACAUGAGCCUGAUGCAAAUGCUUACAAUAUUAUUGCUACUGGCCUGCGUAAGCUAGAUUUGCAUGACGUGGCGAAGAGGUUGUUGCUGUCGAUGGUGGAUCGAGGUGUAGCUCCAAAUGUAUUGGCUUAUACGUCUUUGAUUGAUAUUUACUGCAAGCAGGGAGAUUUUGUUCAAGCGAAAAGGACACUUAGAGAGAUGGAAACUAAGGGAAUUAAGCCUAGCACGGGAACAUACAAUGCCCUGGUAGAUGGUUACUUCAAGCAUGGAUAUUUUAUUGACGCAAAAAGGGCACUUAUUGAGAUAGAAACUAAAGGAGUUAAGCCUAACACGACAACAUAUACUGUGUUGAUAGAUGGUUAUUCUAAGCAAGGAGAUUUUGUUAGAGCUAAAAAGACACUUAUUGAGAUGGAGAAUAACGGAGUUAAGCCUAACACCAAUACAUACACUGCACUGAUAGAUGGUUAUUGCCAGAAAGGUAUGAUGAAUGAAGCUUAUAAGCUUAGAAAUCUCAUGGAAUCUAAGGACUUGAUAGCUAACGUCUAUACAUACACCUCACUUGUACAUGGGGAAUGCAAAUUAGGAAAGGUAGAUGAUGCUCUGAAGCUUUUGAAUGAGAUGCCUACAAAGGGUUUAGUUCCGAAUGUUGUGACUUACACAGCAUUGAUUUCUGGCUUAUCAAAAGAAGGCAGAUCAGGUGAAGCCAUCCGAUUAUACAAUCAGAUGAUAGAGGCAGGCGUAGUACCCGAUGCUGCUGCAUACUCUGCACUUAGUGUGAGAAAUUCUUCUCUAUAAACUUGUACAUCGUGAACUUUAUUUGGAUUAGGUUUAGCCAGUCAGAAGUAUAUAUAGCAGAUUGUUUUUUAAUUAAACUGGAAUUCACUGAGUUGAACCAUUAGCUAUUGUACAUGUGCUUUUGUAUAUUUUAUUUUGUAGAAUGCUUCUAUUAUGCCUAGAGUUAGUAUUCUAAUAUGUACAUGUGCAUGUCAAAAGGAUUAAAAUUAAGGACCAUAUCUUGUGCUUGUUGAAAAGAGAAGUCUUCAUGUGCAGUGUAUAGGUGUAGUAGACCCCAUACUUGUAAGUUGUAACUUGAUAUCAGCUGCAUGUUGAAAUAUGAAGGUUAAGAGCCAUUGCUUGCUGGAUAUAGAAGAGAAAAUUCUGCAUGGUUAGUAUUUUGGAUAUAUUCGAGAGUGUUAUCGAAGGGAAAAAACUUAAGCUUUGGUGGGACUUAAGCCUUUAAACGCAAAGGACAGUUAAAACAUGGACUUAAGUGGGAAGUGUGGAAAUGAAGGAUAAAGUAGAAUGAAAGGAAUGUAAUUUACAAAUCAUAAAUAUAAGUACAAAUGAAAAUUAUAGAAAGGAUAAAAGAAUUUAGGAAUUUACGUGUAAGUCAUUGUUUAGUGUCAUCUCUUUAGGAUAAAUCCCAUUGGUGAUAAAGUGUAUGCUUUCGUACCUUUGUGGCUGCACUGAAGCGCCAACUAAGUGAGGGUGAAUCACUCGAACUGUUUAGCACCUUGCUUCUGAGUCUUUGACAACACUAAUACUUUGGUUUAUACUAUCUCCACAAUUUUCUUUUCUGAUUACUACCUUCUGGAAAUUAUAGUUUUUGGCGGACAACUGGAGUAGCAAAGGUCCUCUAGCCAAUGAUUACCAUGAAACAUAGAAGAAUACGGAGACUCUAGUAAGACAUUUCAUUACCAAUGGAACUUGGGACAAUGCAAAGAUGCAGAACAUCCUAUGAGAUAGCACAAUUCAGCAUAUUAAGACCAUUUGGAAUUGGCAAGUAUGACACUCAAGACCAGGUCUUUUGGGACCUCACAAAAGAUGGGAAAUAUUCCAACAGACCACAAUAUUGAUCAGGUAUGGAACUCCAACAUUCCUUUUAAGAUUUCAUUUUUCGUUUGGAAAUUCUGGCAGGGAGAACAUUCCUUUGACGAAGUAAUUAGCAGAUUUGGUAUUCUGAAGGAUACUCUAUGCAACUGCUGCUCUCUUCCUAAAAUGAAAAUCAAAUGCAACAUGUUUUUCUUCGCAGCUCAAUAUGUGUGGAAGCAAUUUGGAGGGCCUCUGGCAAUCAGAACUUACAACUGGUGGAAUCAAAAAAUCAAAUAAUUCCAUCGACAAGCUAGUUCGUCAAACUAGACCAGGCCUUAUCUGUUUGGAGAUUUAGAAACAAAGGUCCGAGUGCAGUAAUUAUAGAGGCUCAAGUAAUUUCUACAGAUAUAUAAUGAUCCAACACAUUCAGAGUACGAUUGCUAAAGCUUAUUCAAAAGUUGGUUCAACAUUACUUUGGAUCACGCUUUGUGAAAAAAUUGUGAAGCUGAAACCUGCCUCAAACCUUUCUAUUGUAUGCUGGAAGUUCCUCGAAGAUGGCGUCCUUAAAUUGAAUACUGAUGGAAGUUUUGAGGGAUAAUAGAGGCAACCUCAUCUUGGCUUUCUCCUCACCUUCGAGUUGUUGCUGCAGCAGCACAUAAGCAGAAGCUAAGGCUGCCAGUUAUGGACAAAGCCUUCGCCUACUGAAAAAUCUGAAAGAACUUCACCAAAUAGAGAGACUCUUUGAUCCUAUUUCCGAUGAUUGUGAACAACCAGCAAUCCAACUACAAGCUCAAUUGCAUUAUUGAGGAAAUACAACAAAGAACGAAACAAGCUAAUGUUAAAGCAACUCACCACGAGGCUAACGAAGUAGCAGACCACCUGGUAAAACUGGCUAUGAGCAGUCGAAAACGACUCCUUUCAACAUCUCCAGCAAGGGCAAAAGGGCCGUUCUAUUUGUAUAACUAAAUGUUAAUCUUAUAUUGUGAACAAAUAUGCAUAUUCCAAAGAUUUCAAUGUGAGAAAGAGAGAAUAUUUUCAAGAUACUACAAAAAUUUUCAUGUAAAAUUCAGUGAAAUGUCUUCAUGUUAAAGAUUAAAGUGUUUUUACUAGACACUUUUAAUUACAAUAAGCUAUAACACUUGGGUAUAAGUUCCAGUUGAUGCUUAUGUGUAUAAUAAAAAUUUUAUGGAAUUAAUUUAUUUAUGUGAGACUCACAUACAUAAACUGAAGGAUUUAUUCCACGUGAUCGUUUAUCUAAUAGUUAUUAUUUCAAAAUUUUACUCACGUUUAUCUAAUAGUUAUUAUUUCAAAAUUUUAUCUUCUUUUUUUGAAGAAUUUCAUAUAUCUAUAAUAACUAUUAAUCAAAUAAUCAUAUGAAAAAUCAACUGAACAAAAAUUACUUAUUACUAUAUCCAUUUAUCAUGUGUUAAAAACUUUAAUUAGAAUAAGUUAUAUUUUAUAUGUCUAAAUAAAAUAAUGACAAAUUUAAGUUCCACGAGGUGCUAAAUUUGACAAUUGAAAUUGAGUUGAUGGAGAGGAAUAAUUGGACUAAAUUAGAUGAGGACUAAAUGUAACUUUUUAAAAGUAUAGAGGGUCAAUUUGUAUACCUUUUAUGAGACCUCUUUUGCAUUUCAAUCAAAAUUCUUCACAGCCGUUUUCUCCAAGCUCUCUUAAAAGCUUCAAAUUUAAUUUGCUCAGCUCGCCGGGAACUCGCCGAAGCUCGCCGGGAAAAAGGGUAUCUCCAGCUCGCCGGGAAAAAGGGUAUCUCCAGCUCGAAGGAAAACAGGGUAUGUCCAGUUGCGUUAAUAGAGGUAACCAAUAUUUCUGAAGUUCAGAAAUGAAAAUUUCAAAUUGCACUAUUCAAGUUUAUAGGUAUUGAGUUGUUCUUCACAUGUCGACUCAAAAGUUCUACCAACCGAUAAAACAACGUUUCCCCAAUAGACCCAUUAAAGAAAUUGCCAAACUAAUCUCCCUCUUCCCCCCUUCCCAUUCUACUUGCUCAAAUUUCUUCAAUUUCAAGAAAAAUCCCAAUCUUGAAACCCAUUUAGCCGUAGUUGUAGACUUAUUAAAGUCCAAGGAGUUUGCUGAAGCCGAGAAUAUAUUGAAUGCUGUUGUUGUUACUGAUGGUCUGAGGAAACCAGUUUCAAAAAUAGCUUCUUUGUUGAGUGAGAAUUAUGUAAAGUGUAAAGUUAUAGGGAAGAUGUUUAAUAUGUUAUUUAGUGUUUAUGUUAAUAACAUGAGGUUUAGUGAAGCUUUACAAGUUUUUGAUUAUAUGAAAAAAUGGCGCUUUAGAAUUGAUGAUAGAGCUUGUAUGGUUUACUUGCUUGCUAUGAAAAGGCAAAGGCAGUAUGACUCGUUGUUCGAGUUUUUCCAUAAGAUGGUUAAGUUUAAUGUGAAAAUUACAGUUUAUUCGAUGACGGUGGUAGUUGAUGGAUUGUGUAAAAUGGGGGAGGUUUGUGAGGCUAGAAAGCUCGUGGAUGAAAUGGCUAGUACUGGGGUGAAACAAAGUGAUUAUACUUAUAACAUAUUGUUACAAGCAUAUAUGAAGAUGCAAGAUUUUGUGGCUGUAAAGGAAAUUUUGAGGAAAAUGGAGAAGGAUGGUUUUGAUCUCAAUCUGACUAGUUAUACACUUCUGAUUAAAGGAUAUUCAACUUUUGGCGAUCUUGUAGAGGUUGAGAGGUUAUUUAAGGAAAUAGAAGAGAAGGGUAUAGAGCCAAAUGUUCAUUUAUUCACCUCCAUGAUUAGUGGUUACAGUAAGUUAGGUAAUGUUAUGAAGGCAUUUUCAACGUUCGUUGAAAUGGUGGAGAGAGGCCUCAUUCCUGAUGGUCACACAUAUGGAGCUUUGAUAAAUGGCUUCUGCAAGGCUGGACUAAUGCAAGGAGCUGAAGUUUUACUAAAUGAGAUGCAAGGAAAGGGAAUUAGUGUAGACCGGGUCAUAUUUAAUACGAUGAUGGAUGGUUACUGUAAGCAGGGUAAUGUGGAUGAAGCACUGAGGCUACAGACAAUUAUGGAGGGUGAAGGACAUCAGCCUGAUGCAAAUGCUUACAAUAUAAUUGCUACGGGCCUGCGUAAGCUAGAAUUGUAUGAUGAAGCAAAAAGUUUGUUGCUCUCGAUGGUGGAUCGAGGUGUAGCUCCAGAUACAAUUAGUUAUACAACUUUGAUCGAUAUUUAUUGCAAGCAGGGAAAUUUUGUGGAAGCAAAAAGGGCACUUAUUGAGAUGGAAACUAAGGGAAUUAAGCCUAACACGGCAACAUACACUACACUGGUAGAUGGUUAUUGCAAGCUAGGAAAAAUUGUUGACGCGAAAAGGAUACUUAGGGUGAUGGAAACUGCUGGAGUUAAGCCUAACACAACAACAAACAGUGUCUGUGCCCUGAUAGAUGGUUACUGCAAGCAGGGAAAUUUCAUUGAAGCAAAAACGGUAUUUAGUGAGAUUGGAACUAAGGGAGUUAAGCCUAACACAGUAACGUACACUGCCCUGAUAGAUGGUUAUUGUAAGGUGCGAAAUCCUGCUAAAGCUGAAAAGGUACUUGUUGAGAUGGAAACUAAGGGAGUUAAGCCUACUACGGUAACGUACACUGCCCUGAUAGAUGGUUGUUGCAAGGUAGGAAAUAUUGCUAAAGCAAUAAAGGUACUUAUUGAGAUGGAAACUAAGGGAGUGAAGCCUAACACGGUAACGUACACUGCCCUGAUAGAUGGUUGUUGCAAGGUGGGAAAUAUUGCUAAAUACACCUCACUUGUACAUAGGGAAUGCAAAUCAGGAAAGGUAGAUGAUGCUCUGAAGCUUUUCAACGAGAUGCCUACAAAGGGUUUAGUUCCGAAUGUUGUGACUUACACAGCAGUGAUUUCUGGCUUAUCAAAAGAAGGCAGAUCAGGUGAAGCCCUCCGAUUAUACAACCAGAUGAUAGAGGCAGGCGUAAUACCCGAUGCUGCUGCAUACUCUGCACUUAGAGUGAGAAAUUCUUCUCUAUAAACUUUUACAUAGUGAACUUUAUUUGGAUUAGAUUUAGCCAGUCAGAAGUGUAUAUAGCAGAUUGUUUUUAAAUUAAACUGGAAUUCACAGAGUUGAACUAUUAGCUAUUGUACUUGUGCUUUUGUAUAUUUUAUUGUUGUAGAAUGCUUCUAUUAUGUCCAGAGAUUGUAUUCUAAGAUAUACAUGUGCAUAUCAGAAAAAGUCGAUGCUUUGAAGCUUUCGAUCGAGAUUCUUACAAAGGAUUUAGUUCCAGAUCGGACUUGGUGACUUACGCAAUGAUGAUUUCUGGCCUAUCAAAAGAGUAUACAAUCAGAUGAUAGAGGCAGGCCUAACACUCGGUGUUACAUACCCUGCACUUGUGGAUAUACUAUCUUGUAAGUCUUUAACUUCAUGUAAGUCAGACUUAGCUAAUUGGAAGCAUAACAGAUUGUUCUGCACUUCUUCAUGGUGUUUUACUUGAGCAAACUGAAUUAUAUGGUGCAGGACAUCCUGCAGAAAUUCGGUGUGCCUAGGUUGUUACUGCAGAUCUUAGUGUUGUCCACGGACAUUGUCUGCUAUAAACUCAAGGUUGAUAUCGAUUUGAUCAGCCAAAGAAGAGCAAAAGUGCAGCUCAGAUUUUAGCUGCUUGAUUUCCUUCAUUUAGACUAUGAUCUAAGAAGACUGGAGCUCGAUGACAUCUGUGAGUAUUCAGAUGACAUUAGAAUAUAACAACUUGCUAUUAUUUGAAUCAACAUACUGUUACCUUUAUCAAAAAAGAAAUAUUUGAAUCAACAUGAAAUAUCAACCAUGAGAUUAAAUAACUGUGGGUGGGUUUUAAAGAUAAAUGUUGUUCAUUACGAAGUCAUGAUGGGAAAACAAAGUGACUACCUUGGUUGUUUUAUCAUUUUCUUAGAGUUACAAUACAUAUAACUUCUCGCAGGGUGGAUCAAUUUACACCAGAACAAGCAUUUUUUUGGAAGUCUUUACAAAAUUUAGCAAAGACUCUAGUUUUAUCUUGCCUACAAUACAAGAUUGACAACUAUACCCACAGGCUUGCCACAGAUUUCCCAGUUAGUUGUUGCCUUGUAAAAUACUCUGGAUCAAGUAAUAAAAAACUUCCUUCCGCUGCUUGAUCAAUUUCUGGACCAAUUCUUGAUAGUCCCAAAAUCAAAAACAUUAGCCUUGAGAUUUUCAUCUAGCAGUAGGUUUGGAGAUUUGACGUCAAAGCAAGUAAUUGCCUGCUGAAAAGUAUGAAGAUAAUGAAGUUCUGAUCCUACAGGAAUUUCAAGUCUUUGCAUUCAACUUCAAAUUUAGAAGGUUUGAGACAUACAGAUGAUCCUUAAAGUCGUAAGUAAUAAUCUUCUCAUUCUUUUAAUCGCAGUACUCAAUGAUAUACCUUUGCAUUUUUCCAACCUUGGUGAUACAUGUAUAUAUCCUACAUGGAUAAGAGUAUAUAGAGAAGAUCCAAUUACAAUUGAGUAGAACGGCGAGUUGUAAACCCUGAAGAGCUUGUUGAAAGAGAAGUGUUGAUGAAGAUGCUGAGCUAUGAAGACAAUGUUGAAAGAAUUUAAGAGGAAGUAGAGCAUGACAUGAAUACUACAUUUAUGUCACAUUCUAAUGAUAUGUUCAGUUCCUUUGUCAACAAACUUCAGAAUCAGUUGUAAAACGAAGGGAAGUGUAUUAAACAUUGUUGUAUAUUUUGGAAAUUCUUAUGCUUUUGUUUAGGAAUAUUAUGUGAUGUGAAAUAAUCACAUUCGUUUUUUUUUCUCACUUUAAAAUCAACAAAUAAAAAGAAAAACAGAUGAUAAGAAUUAAAAAACACACAAAACCACACUUGAUAAUGUUUUUUUUUUUCACCAUGAGAAAGCCUUGUACUAAACAGAAUUUUUUGAAUCAAUGAAUCGAUGAAGAGGAGUUAUCUUUAAUUACACAGUCCUUCAUCCUUGAUCAGAGUUGAAGGUUCUAGUUGUCCUCAAACUUAGAAAACACUUUAUCCUCAAACUUCUCAUGAAACUUGUGAAGCAUUUUACCCUAAAUGUGGAACUUUCUGUUGAAACUUAUGAAGCGUUUACUCUAAAUGUGGAACUUUUCGUAAAAUUUAUAAAGCGAUUUUAUCCUCAAUGCGAAACUUUUCGUGGAUUUUGAGAAUAAUUCAAUGUGACAUCGAGUGGGAUACCAAAAAUAAAAACACAACUUUAAAAAAGGGACUUAAUGGAUGUUUCAAGAAGAAUUUGGGCCAAAUUUUAAACUCUUUCAAAACUAUAGAAAGGCUAAAAUUCAGCUGACGCCGUCUUCCCCAGUUACUGAAGAAACAAAACGUCGCCGGGAACUGGAUUCCGUCACCGGGAAAAACAUGUCAUCCUUCCGGUAAUCUCUUUAAACUCAUAAAACUUCCAUAGUAAAUAUCUCAGCUUUAUUCUCAAAUGUCGACUGAAAAGUUUUACCGAACUGCAAAACAAUUAUUUCCCAAAAAACCAAAUGAAGAAAUUGCUAAAUUGAUCUCCAAUACUCUGAUAAAUUUGAGUUCUACAAAGGAAAUACCCCCAUCUCUAACUUCCUACCUCAAUCCCCAAGUAACCCAUCUGGUUUUUUCAAACCCAUCUGUCCCUACACAAUCUUGUUUAAGUUUCUUCAAAUUUCUCCAAAAAAAUCAAUCUUUCGAAAGACCCAAUCUUGAAUCACAUAUAGCCUUGUGUUUGCGCUUGUUUAAAGCCAGGAAGUUUGCUGAAGCCAAAAGUAUAUUGCAUACAGUUGCUUCUGAUGAUAGUUUAAGGAAACCAAUUUCAGAAGUAGCUUCAUUUUUGGGUGAGAAUCAUGUAGAACAUAAAGUUAUGGGGAAGAUGUUUGACAUGUUGUUUAGGGUAUAUGUUGAUAGUAUGAGGUUUAAGGAUGCUCUUGAGGUUUUUGAGUAUAUGAAGAAUGGUGGGUUCGAGAUAGAUGAUAGAUCUUGUAUGGUUUACUUACUUGCUAUGAAAAGACGAAAACAGUAUGACUCACUGGUUGAGUUUUUCGAGAUGAUGGUUGAAUUUGAUGUGAGAAUUACGGUGUACUCUAUGACGAUGGUUAUAGACGGUUUGUGUAAAGUAGGAGAGGUUAGCAAGGCAAGAAAACUCAUGGAUGAAAUGGUUAGUAAAGGGGUGAAACCAAAUGUGUACACUUACAACACAUUAUUAGAUGCUUGCAUGAAGAAGCCAGAUUUUGUGGCUCUGAAGGAGAUUUUGAUGGCUAUGGAGAAAGAGGGGUUGGAUCUUGAUGUGACGAGUUAUACUCUUCUGAUUAACGGGUAUUGUAAUAUUGGCAAUCUUAAAGAGGUUGAUAGGUUGUUUAGGGAAAUAGAAGGGAAAGGCAUAGAGCCAGAUGUUCAUUUAUACACCUCUAUGAUUAGUGGUUGUAGUAAGUUAGGUAAUGUCAAAAAAGCAUUUUCAGUGUUUGAUGAAAUGGUGGAGAGGGGUCUCGUUCCGAAUGCUCACACAUAUGGAGCUUUGAUAAAUUGCUUGUGUAAGGCUGGACAGAUGCAAGCUGCUGAAGUUUUACUUGAUGAGAUGCAUAGUAAGGGGGUUGAUAUUGGUCCAGUUAUAUUUAAUACAAUGAUGGAUGGUUACUGUAAGCAAGGUAAUAUCGAUGAAGCAUGGAGGCUGCAGAAAAUUAUGGAGGGGAAAGGGUAUGAAUCUGAUGUAUAUGCUUACAACAUAAUUGCUACUGGAUUGUGUAAGUUAGAUCGGUGUGAGGAAGCAAAGACGUGGUUGUUCUCAAUGGUGGAUCGAGGUGUAGCUCCAAAUGAAGUUGCUCAUACAACUUUGAUCAGUAUAUAUUCUAAGGAAGGAAAUUUUGUUGAAGCAAAAAGGACACUUGGUGAGAUGGAAACAAAGGGAAUGAAGCCUAAUACGGCAACGUACAAUACCCUGAUGGAUGGUUAUUGCAAGAAGGGCAUGAUGAAGGAAGCGUAUAAGCUAAAGAAUGUUAUGGAAUGUAAAGGCCUGAAACCUGAUCCCUAUACAUACACCUCACUUGUACACGGAGAAUGCAUAUCAGGGAAGGUAGAUGAAGCUCUGAAACUUUUCAACGAGAUGCCUCGAGAAGGUAUAGUUCCAAAUGUGGUGACUUACACAGCAAUGAUUUCUGGCUUAUCGAAAGAGGGCAGGUCAGAUGAAGCCUUCAGAUUGUAUGAUGAGAUGAUAGAGGCAGGACUUACACCUGAUGCUAGUGCAUAUUCUGCUCUCGUGGGCAGUCUUCAUGGUUGACGUUUAUUUAGUAUGUGAAGUUGCUCUAGAGGGACAUGUAAUCGUAAACAUCAAAAGUAAAUCAAAUGUAGCUAAUUGGAGCUAUAACAGAUUGUUCAAUAUAUCCUUCGGAUGUUUUAUAUAAAGGAAUUUAUUGCAGGACACUCUCACAGAUUCAAUGUGUCUUGUUUGUUGCUUGUCAUUGCAGAUCUUAUGUUGUCCUUGAACAUGGUCUGACAUAAUCUGAGCAAAGGCACUGCACAGAUAGUGAGAUCUAAGCUGCUUGAAUUCCUCUUAUGAUUUUAGCACAUUGAUCUACAAGAGGAUGAUAGGGCUAUGAUAUGUGUAAGUAUCCGGAGGACGUUAUGGUUUUAAAAGACAAGUUUUGUUUUGGUACGCAGUCAUGAUGAGUAAACCACUGCUUAGUGUAUUAUCUCAAACUUUGGAGGCAUUUUGCUAGCUUACACAUAUUUUCUUUAAGCUAUGUUGCUUUCUUAGUUGUCCAGUACGAAAAAUGAUGCUUCCUCUGUUAAUGUUGUUCCAUCUGGUGCCACUUCUCUUCUUCACAAACAUGAGGGAAAAGGUUAUAAGGCCUCUGUUGGGAUGUAUAAACUAAACUUGGAUAUCUUUGGAACAGAGACAAGCACCACUGUAUAAAGACUUCACAGACUUUUCCCAUAUGACAUAGAUGGGAACAUUGACAUACUUAAAUGAGAGGAUUACAGUGAAAACAGAAAGAUGUAUAUACAAGAGUGUAGUCGCAACUGUUCCUAUAUUUACUGUUCAGCACCUUCGCUGACUUAGAUCUCCAGAAGUCGCUCAACUGGCUGCCGACAUAUAGGACACCUAUUUGUCUGGAUCCUCAAGACUUUUGCACAACCACUGCACAUGCACUGCAUCAAGGAAAAUACUCAAUAUUUGUGGCAUAUAAUAGUAUUGCACCAAUAAAUAAGACAAACAAAAAACACUUGUGUCAUGUAUGGCUUCUUCAAUCAACACAGAAGCUGAUGCAUUGGUUUAUCAAGCGCAAUGAAACUGAUGCAUAUCAUAUUUACUGCUAGAUACACGAUAUUGUGUUGAUAUUUUGAACCAUGGCUAGUCUACUAACCAAAGAAAGGAAAUAAGGUGGGGUUUAAGGCCAGGGAAGAGUUACUCUCAAGUUGUAUUAGCGAAAACUGUUGCAACAGAAGCUGAAUAAACAAAGCAUUCAAGAUAGUUGUGCAUGUAUUCAGACCAGCACCUUAGAUGCAAGGGUUACGAAAGGUUAAAACCAUACCAUGUGUCGACAUGGAAGUACAGUUGUGUCCCGAGGUUCAGCAAGGCAUAUCACACAUUCUUUCCCAGGAUCAUUUCCGUCAAACUCAUUAUCAAUUGAAUCACCAAUCCCAUAAAUCUCUUGUAAUUCAUAUCUCAUGCCAUUGACCCAAAGUAUUUGCUUCACCACCCUAACAUUGUAUUCACCUUUAUCCUUUUCAAAAACUGCUAGAGUAAGCUGGGAAUUUGUGGACCCGGAUACUGCAUUCUCAUCCUCCGGUACACUUUCCUUACCUGGGAUUGCCUCUAGUUUCACCGCUAAUGGAUAUACAUCUGCAUCAGCAUAUAUGGAGGAUUCUGCUUCAUCAAAAAUCGAAAGAUCAAUGCCAGUUCCUGAGGGUUGCCUAAACUUCUGAGAUAAACCUUGUUGAAAUUCAACAGUUAUAGGUAGAAGUAAGCUUUCUUUCAUAGGUGUCAACAAACAAUCUUCACCUUCUUUUCCAAAGAAAAUGACAGUCAAGCUGCAACAGAUUAAAGAAAAAACCAAUUCAACACUUUACAGAUAAAAAAGUUGUGAAUGAUUCUUGAAGAUCCAUAAUAAUGACUAAUACUCAUUAAUGAGUUGUCAAGGGAUUUGACAUUAUAUGACUUGCAGCGAAAAAACAUCCUCAUUAUUUCAAGAGCAUAUAAGGCUGCUGAUUAACGAUUUUGAAUGAUGAAAUGCAGGAAUAUCAACAACGCACAGAUAAAUUUGUUAGAAUGAUAACUUGCAAGAACUACUAAGUAGCAACACGACGCAAUGUGUAAGAGAAUCCCAGAAAAUGAACUAUGACCAAACCAUAUCUAUGUCAAGAAAACUAAAGUUUGCAAGUCAUACAAUUUUAAGGGAAAAUCAGCAAAUGAAUUGUGUUCACCAAAUCAUACACUUAUAUGUCAAAAAAGUUCAAAACUUUAACAUACAUAUACUGAUUAAAAUGACACAUACAACACAAAACACUACAUUCCUACAUAGAGAGUAUACAACAAAAUCAUGUAUGAAUCAUUAAACUUUUACGAAACAUAGAGUAUAUUAUACGAAUAUGAACCUAGUAAUUUCAUUCUGCAGUUCUGAAUCCAAUUUCAUUCUAAUACUCAACAAAGUUGACAUUAAAGACAACUUAUGAAAUAACAUUAACAUACCCUGAUCCACAUAGUGAAAGAAAACAAUAUGAGGUCUUUUUAUAUCGUCAACCAAACACAAUAUAAAUUUUAUCCGAUAAAUCCAAACGACCCUUUAAAAAGCACAAAUUCUUACCCAACCCCACAAAAAUAAGUACCUUCCAGAAACGGUGGCGUCGAAAGUAAAAGCAACAAGGUACUUCCCCGGAUUCUUCUCAUCAGGCUCAAUUUUCAGAGUUUCCUUCUUCAGAUUAACAUCAUUACGUAUAGUCACUGCUUUUUGAUGCAACACAUAUGGUGCUGCCAUUGCCCGUGGCCGCGGCGGCGGCGGUGGCGUCGAAUAGUACCCCGGGUACUGAUAAUACGACGGCCCAUGUGGGAAUCGAGAAAGAUACGGUGUUGCCGCAAACACAUACCCGUUCGCACGUAUCUCCGGUUGAGGUGGCGGCGGCGGCGGUGGUGGGUGGCUCCUCCGGCUGUUGCGUCGUCUCGGUCCAUUCACACCCCUGCUUCCAGCAUUUCCCAUCUCAAAAUUUGAAAGUAGAAACUCUAAUUCGGAUUACAGAAGCUUAAUUUUACCUCUGAUCACACCAUGAAAGAGAACAGAUUUGUAGAGUUUUAGACACCCUUUGCUUCCUUUUUUUACACAACAAAGAAGAAAUCAACAGAAACUCAAAGAGAAUUUACUGAAUUAGUGAAUUGAGAAGACAAGGAAGAUGAAAUUGAGGAUGAAUGAAUGUUCAUUGUACAGCUACAGAAAUAUUUACAUUUUACAGUAUAGAGUUGAAAAAGGUAAGUUAAAAAGUUCCAGUAAAUUUUUUUCUAUAAAAGUUUCAAGUAUAUCCAAUGAGUUGGAAACAAGUUAUUUAGGUAAUUAUUUAUACAGAAAAGCGCCUAAAAUACCCUUUAAAUAUUGAAAAUGGUAUAAAAUUAUCCUUCAUCCACUUAUUGGCUCCAAAAUGCCGUUCCCACCCACCUAUUGGGUCCAAAAUACCCUUGUCAUCCACCUUUUGGUUCAAAAUUGACCACUUAUUUAACGGUUUUAUAUUUAAAUAUUUUUUAAAAUACGUGGCGCUCAACUAUUUGUUAUAAUUUAACUUAUUAGUGUAAUUUAUAAAUCAAUCCACUACCCACCCAUUACUAAUUAAAUCCCUCUAAAUUAAUGAACCCGUCAAAUUAUUAAUGCAAGCUACUACCAAUUGAGUGUUUUUAAAAAAUAUAGAAGAAAAUUAUCAUACAUUCAAGUGGCUACAUAAAAAUCACCGAUAAACUUAAAAGUCUGACUAUGUUCAUCUUAAUUAUUCUUACGUCUUAAUUAUGUGAUGUUACCUCAUAGGUAACUUUUUUUCAAAAUAAUAUAUUAAAGGUUUUAAAAUAAAUCAUAAAUAUUUAUAAAAUUAUAUUUAAAAUAAGAGGCAUUAAUUAAAUCGGAAAUGUAUUAUUUCUUUACCUUUAAUCAUAAUUUUCUAAUUCAAUUUUGAAAGAAAGUGUCCUCCUAAAUAAGUGGCUCAACCUAAAUUUCAUUGGGGUUUCGAUUCGGACUCGAAUAAUUUUGAAUGUCAUUUUCAGUAAUCUAUAAUUUCAUCGUGUUUUAGUAGUGUUUAUGACAAUUUUGAUAUUAUAAUUGAAUUAUUAAUUGAGUGAGGUUUAGUUUGUAAUGAGUGGGUAGUGGAUUAGUUUAUAAAUUAUAUUAAUAAAUUAAAAUUAUAAUUAAUAGUUGAACGCCCAGUAUAUAAAAAAAAUAUUUAAAGAGUUUAAUCUUAAAACAAUUGAAAAUGGUCAAUUUUGAACCCAAAGGUGGAUGACAAGUGUAUUUUGGAGUCAAUAGGUGGAUGGAAAGGGCAUUUUGGAGCCAAUAGGUGGAUGAAGGGUAAUUUUGUACCAUUUUCAAUACUUUAAGGGUAUUUAUCAUUUUAUUAUUGCGAUUCAAAACGAGUCUUGAGCGAACGAUCCAACGAAUUCAAUCGAACUUAUAUUUAUGGUUCAACUUACAAAAUACUAAUCAUAAUGCAAAAGUUCAAUUCUCAUAAAUGAAAGAAACAUAAAUCCACUAAAGUCUAUUAAAUCGGUUCCACAAAUCUGAAAGUUAGGCAUCUAAUUUUUAAAUAUUAAGUCUAAGAGUAUCAAAAACACUAAAAUAAAUAAAUAAAGUAGUUUGUGUCCGAAAAUUAAGGACAUCUUGACAUGACCAAUAGAAUCCAACACGAGCUAGAAUAAAUAGCUGGAACCUAAUAUGUUGGAGACUAGCUAUAACUGAGGGCUAGUUGAAGUCGUUGGUAUAACUCGUUGCAUUCCACAAAAGGAAAAAGAAGAAAACUACAAAUAAGGGUCAGUACAGUACAAUAUGUACUGAGUAGAUAUCAUCAACCGACCCAAAUAAAAACUAAUAUGUAAUAAGCAAUAGUAUAAAAUCAACUAUAGCACUUAGCAGGUGGCAAGCAACAUAUAACAUGGACAAAUAACAACAACACCGAGACGAGUAUUUAAAUAAGUCAUAAUAUCAAAAACACAUAUGAGGACUCAUGUCUCUACACCACGUUUUUUUUUUAAAAACUUGAUAUAUUGAGAUAACUCAUAAUUCUUAUACAAGCAACCCUAAAAACUACACAAUACUCUAUCCCACCGAUGAUCAUGCAUCAUCUCAAUUGUGACAUAGUGCGUUUGUCAUUUUAGCCCUACUAAUUAUGAAGUGGAUGAAUUAAAAACUUAGAGAUUUUAAAAAGUUCUAUCAUUUUCAAAAUAAUUAAUUGAGGAUAUAAUAAGUAAAAAAAAAAUUUCUUAAUUUAUCAAAACGAACAAGUAAUCAGAAACAACUAAAAAAUUGAAAAUUGAACAAGUAAUCAGGGACAAAUAUAGGGGCAGACCCACAUAUAUCCUAUCGGAUACUCGAGCACCCAUUAAUCCUAACAUAAGUUCGUACAUUUAUAUAUAUAAAAAAAAAAUAUAACAUAGAUAUAUUAACAGUUUAGGACCCAGUGAACAAAAGGCUUUAUAGGUGAGUUGGUUUAGUUUUGAUCCAUAUUGUUAUUACGAUAUCAAACUUUAUGGAAUAUCUUUUAUCCCUAACUAUUUUAUAGUAUAUUUUUUUACCUCAAAACUAUUUAAUAGUGUGUAUAAAGGCAUAUAUAUGCUCACGUGAACACAUUACUAUUUAUGAUUAUGCAAUAUUUUUUAUAUUCACAUGAACACAUAUAUACCUUUAAAAUAUACUAUUAAAUAGUGUAGAGGGGUAAAAAGUCCUUUUCAAAAAUUAAUAUCGUAACAACAAUUUCAACCUAAGUUUGAAUAUAUUUUAGACCCUUUUCCCAAUUUUUUGUGAUGGAAAGAAAAUCAAGAUUUUCUUGAGAAAUUUUGGCACCUCAUAAAUCCCUCACGCUAAUUCAUUUUUUUUCUAAAAAAAAAUUUAAAAAAAUGAAAAGUUCUUUUAACUAUAACAUUUAAAUAGUUAUGCAUGUAUAUACUCUUAUACUAGGCGACUCACAGUAACUUUUAUAUUAGGUGGCGAGCAUUCUUAAACAUAAAAUCUUGAAUUUGUCACUGAAUAACUUAUUUUGUUAUUAUAAUAAAAAAUUAUAGGUCCAAGCACUAUUUAAUAUCUCCAAUUCUAAUCAAACAUAGGAUAAAAUAAUUUUAUAUUUUAUUUAUAAAUUAUACUUUACCUUAUAUAUCACGUCAAAAAAUUAAAAAAUAUAUUAACUGUAAUCAAUAAAAACAUGUUAUAAAUCUAGCUUCAUGUACCCACACCCAAAUACGAGAAGUGCACGCAUGCAUGACACAACUCAAGUUGGUUCAUACUCCACUUUAUUUUAUUUGAUCGUGCUAUAUCAAAAAUAAAUAUUACAUUUUACUUGUUAUUUUAAUGAAUCAAAAGAGUUUAUUAUUUUUUAUGUUAUUCAUAAUUUUAAAUAACAAUACAAAAUAAUAAAAAUCAAAUUUAAAAUUUUAAUAUAUCAUUAAUAAGAAUAAAAGAAUUAUUUAUAUGAAAUUUUCUUAAAUAUGUUAUGUCAACAAUAAUCAAAUAAUAUGAAACAGAGAACGAAUAUACUUUUCUUCUUAAUUGUAUAAUUGAAUUCAUCUAGAAGAUUAACCUUAAAAUGCCAACCCAAAUGUUGACAAAUUCACAUGAUUCUCGUCAUUAAAUUAUAGUUUAUACACGCACCUUAUAAUAAUAUUAAUAGUACAUGACUUAGUCAUGAUAAAUUAAUAUAUAUUGAUAUAACCAUCGAAUACAAAUAAGUUUUUACUUGUAUCAGAUGUUUAUUUCAAAUCAAUACAUGAAUAUAUAACUCUGAGGGUAGCUCGGCUGGUAAACGCCCUUCAGAUUGCCAGUUUGUAAAGCGAUACCUGAAAACCACGGUAAAAAAAUAAAAUAGAAUACAUAAAUAUAUAAUUAUGUUUGUAUGUACAUUUAAUUCAUUUAGUCAUGACUAAUUAAUGUAUAUAAUUUUAAUUAUUAAUUACAUUAAUUAAUUAAAAAAUAAUUUGACGUAAAUAUCGUAUGGAUUAAAUUUUUCACCUGUGGACAGUCCUCACUACUAAAAUGGAGACUAGUCGUUAUAAAAGUCACCCAUGGCAACCCAUGCACCUAACUUUUAUUCUAUUUUUUCAAUUUUCUUUCUUCUUACAAAUGAUUAUUUCUCUGUUUAAUUUGUUGUAAGAUUGAUUUUGUCAUUAAUGGUAAAAAAAAAGUGUAAAGUUGUCCCUGUUUCAUUCAAAUCAAUAACUUUUAUUUAAAAUAAUAUUUUAAAAUACGUUUGUAUAUACAAAAUAAAAAAUAUUUAAUUUCUAUGAUCAAACGUUUAUAAAAUUUCAAAAAAAAAAAAUGGACAAAUUUGCGCCGGCUAUUAUAUUGAUGGGAAUGCGGGAGGCUAUAAUUACAUACCAUCGCUGUCCAUAAUAAAAAGUGAAUGCAUCAAAACCAAUAUUGAGUCAAAAUUUAAAAUUUUAAUUUUUUAUUAUUAUUAGAUUCUAAAAUAAUAAUUAUACAUAAUACAAUGAAUCAAAAUCUAAUUCAAAAUUAUUGAAUUAGAUCAAAUCUGUAAUUAACAUAUCGAUUUCAUUUCCGAUUAAAAAGGGAAAGAAAGACGCAAUGGAAACAAUUUCAAUUUCUCUUAGAAAUAUAGAGGGGAAUAAUUUUUUUUUUAAAGUAAGUAGUCAACAAUUUACUUUUGAAAAUUAUAUGUACACGUUGCAUCCUUCUCUUGUAAUGACCAGCAUGUCAAUUUAGAAAUUGUUAAUAAAAUAAGAAAUAUUUUGGACUCUUGAAUCACGUAUUAAAAUAUUUAUUAAAGAUCUAAUAAAAAAAAUUGAAUUUUGUGAAUCAAAUAUUCAUUAAUUAAAUGCCUACACAAUAUUUAUUAGGAAUCUAGUUAUUAUCGUAUAUUACUUUAUGUCUCUCCUACGGAGUCAAACUUUUUUAUUAAGAGAUUUGAAAAAUAAAAAAAAAAUACAUUAAAAAAGUUAAAGAGAGUUCUACAUAUACUAUAUAUACAUAAAAUAAUUAAUUAUUUUUCUAUUUGACUAGUUAAUAUGUUCUUAAAUUAUUAAUAACUUUAAAAUUAUUUCUAUACUUGACUAGCUAAACUUAAAUACAAUUCUGAUUCUUUACAUGACAUAGUUAAUGAUCUUAAACUUUUAUAAGUACAUGUAAUCUCAUUUACGGGUCCUUAAAGUUAUUCACACAUUUCACUUAAACACCUUAACCAGAGGUUGUUUCUAUUAAACACCUCUAACGUCAAAAUAUGUAACUAUUAAAUAUUUUUUGAUGACAUGUCAUUACAAAUGUAAUGUAAUUGAAAGUAAGCGCGGGAAAGCCAUAAUCUUUUUCUUGCUAACCAAUAAAAAAUGGACACAUCAACCUUAAGAAAAUUCAUAAUCUAAACAUGAUUUAUUUUUAUUUUUUAUAAAGAAAAUAAUUGUCUUCUCCAACUCAUCUUCCCUAUUGAAAUUCUCAAUUCAAAAUUACUUGAACCUCAUCGGCCAAAUUACUUUGCUACCAUAUAAUCCUUCAUUCAUUGUUUCUUUUUAGCAUUAUUUCACUAUAAUCAAUAUCAUUGUCGUUGUUCUUUUCAUCGAAAAAAACAUCACUGAAAUAAAUAACUAGUAAAAACACAAAAACAUCAAAAGAUUUUACUGUUAAAAUUUUCAUUUGAGUUGUCAAGAGAAUUUUAUCAAAAAUAAAUCAAAUUGAGGUCAAAACAAUUCCGACUGAAUUCCAUUAUUUCCGAUAAAAUUAAUACGAAUCUGAAAUUAUUUUCUUAUGUAAUUAAAAAUGGAAAGGAAAAAAGGUAGAGUAAGGAUAAUUAUUGGAGUAUACACAAUUUUUUUUUUACUAAAAAAGAUGUUCAAUUGAACAAACCUAAUAAAAUGCUCAAAUAAAAUAUACGAACAACUUUAAAAAAAUCACAUAUAACUUAAAGCCUUAAAAAAACAAUACAAACUGUCUCUCAGUGAGCUACCAUACAAUAAUUAAUAUGAUGAUCAUUGACCAUUGUCCACUAAACAAAAGUAUCAAUCAAUUGAUACAUAUACAUCAUGAUUAAUAAGAUUGACAAGGCUUUAUUUAAAAGAUAAAAACAAUUUAAAGAAUCGAUAAAUUUUAUAGCUAAAUAGUAAAUUUUAUGGUAAUUAGUAAUAAAUUUGUAGUUCCUUCUAUUUAUUUAUUUUUUAGUGGAACCAGUAAGGUACUGUAUUCUUUUCAUUUUUUUUAUAUAAAAUAUUAGAAAGUUGUAUACUUCAAAAAUUAGAGUGGUCAAAAUAUGUGGGCUUGAUAUUAUAUUUGUUCAUUAAAUGAAGCUCUUUUCUAUUUUAAUUUUCUUCCAUCCACUUCUUUCUAGCUUUUUAUGUUAAUUUUUCAGAAAUUAAUUAACCAUUAAAGAGUUAUGAAGUUUUCUUUUGCAUUUUCUAAUUGUUUUAAUCCAACAUCUGAGAUUAUGGAAAUUAACCAAAUUAUUCCCUAUGGUAAUUAAAUUCUCUAAUCCCAUUUGUACAAUUCUUAAUAAUUACUACUGCUUUAAUUAAUUAAACUUGUACAUAUCUUAAUUAUUGUAGAAAAAGAUGGACAAAGAGUUCAAAAAUUCUCUAUUUUUUCUUACAAAGAAUUGAAGGUAGCAACUCAUGGAUUUGGAGCAUCAAAUAGAAUUGGAGAAGGAGGAUUUGGUUCUGUUUACAAGGUACAUUUUUUUAUCCGACUUUUAACUUUACGAGUACUGAAUUCUAUAACAUAUUAUUGAAAAGUUUAGAAGAUUUUUCACUCGUUCCUCUUCAGACCUUACUUAUGAAUAAGCUGUCGUUGUUCGACUUUUUGUUAGGUGGACGACUAUUUAAGUUAAUUUUGUGCAUUUUUUUUUACAAAGGGUCGGCUUGAAGAUGGAAGCUUUGUGGCUGUGAAAGUUUUAUUAGUUGAUUUAGAAUCAAUGAGAGGUGAAAGGGAAUUUAUAUCAGAAAUUGCUGCAUUGUCUAAUAUUAGACAUGAAAAUCUUGUCACCCUCAGAGGAUAUUGUGUUGAUGGGACUAAAAGACUCUUAGUCUAUGAUUACAUGGAAAAUAAUUGCCUUUCACAAACAUUACUAGGUAAUUCUUUCGUUUCUCGCGCGUUUUGAAUUUUGAAUUUUCACUCUUAUAUACUGAUAAAGUUAUAGUCAUGUGACCAUAAGGUUGUUUAUUUGAGCUAGAAACAGCCUUUUGCAGAAAUACAAAUAAGAUUGUAUAGGGAAAAAGGAUAAUAAUAUAUCCAUGAACUGUUUUAAAUGAUAUACAGAUACCUUCCGUCGUACUUUUGGAACAUUGAUGCCUCUGCUGUCAAAAAACUAGAGCAUAUAUGUAUAUACCAAUUAUACUAACGGACAUACACGUGUCAUAAUCUUAUCUGCCGGAUAGUGAAUAAGAUUGCACCACGUGUCCCUAUUUAGUCUUCCGUUAGAGUGAACGAUAUCUAUGCUCUAGUUUUUCGACAACAGAGACACUAAUGUCUCAAAAGUAUGACAAGGUAUCUGCAUACUAUACACGAUAUCCUUUGUCCCAACUGUAUAUAAUAGACCCUUGUGGUCUGACCGUAGUGCACCAGACUACCCAGUAUAGUGCCGAUCACAUCGAUCCGAACCACGUUAAUUAUUGUUAACUACAAAUUACAACUCAUACUAACAUGGUUGUUUGACAAGCAGGGGAAGAACAGAACAGAAGUAAAUUUACAUGGGAACUUAGAAGAAAAAUUUCAAAAGGAAUAGCAAAGGGACUUUCAUAUCUACAUGAAGAAGUGAAUCCUCAUGUUGUACAUAGAGAUAUUAAGGCCAGCAACAUAGUUCUUGAUCACAAUUUCACGCCAAAAAUCGGGGAUUUUGGUUUAUCUAGGCUAUUUUCGAAGAACAUUUCACAUAUUACAACUCGAGUUGCUGGUACAUUGUAAGUUACAUAUUACAAAAAUUGUUCUUUUUGAUUGCACACAUCAACUUUACGAGUGUCUAAGCAAAUCAUGUUAUUAAUUUCUUGAUUAAUGUUAUGCCCGAAGAGGCUAUCUUUCUCCAGAAUACGCGAUCAGUGGACAUUUAACUCGAAAAUCAGAUGUUUAUAGCUUCGGAGUAUUAUUGCUAGAAAUAAUCAGUGGUUGCCCUGUUAUUGCCUUUGACAUUGAGAGAGGAGAACAUUUCCUAGUUAACAAGGUAAUUAUCAAUCAUAUUAAGUUAAUUAAGCUUAAUCCUAAUUUUUUUACAAUCUGAUAAUCAUAAUCUUCAUUUUAUCAACAAAAUUUAGCUCUUAUAAUCACUGUAUAAUUAGUGUAUAUACACCAUCAAUUGCUACUAAAAUGCUCAAUUACUAUAUUAUUGGCUUGAUGAGACACUUGCGUAUAUUGACAGUAUAAAUAAUUUCGAUUUAUUAGUGUGUAACACAUAAUUUGUCAUAUGCAAACUUUAUGUAACUAGUUACACUUUUUACUAUCAGUUUAUCAGUAGUUAUCAUUUAAGUGAUCUGAUGGUGUUUAAUUUAUUUCAGGCAUGGGAAAUGUACAAUUCUGGUAAAUUAUUAGAAUUAGUGGACCCUAUAUUAAAUGGAGAAUUUCGAGACGACGAAGCUGUCCGAUUCUUGAAAAUUGGGUUACUCUGUGUGCAAGAAAUAGCCAGUCUACGUCCAAAAAUGUCAUCGGUUUUUGAGAUGUUGAAUAGUGCAAAUUAUAUGGAAUUAGAUGACAUAAAUAUUAUUCAACCUGGAAUUCUUGCUGAUUUGGGAGAUGUUAAAAUAGGUCAAAAACAAUCAUCUAAUAGUUUUUUGUCCAAUGUUGUAACUUUAGUUAAAAAAAUGUUGGUACAAAGUGUAUAUUUCUCACACACAAAGUUGGCCUAAUACUCUCUUUGAGAAAAUAUAGGAUUCGAAGCAGAAACAGAUUUAAGAUUUGAAUUUUAUAGAUUUUUAUAAAUAUUUCAAAGUGAAUAUACAAGAAUAAUUAGUUUCGUUCACAAGAAAAUAUAUAAAUAUUGUUCCCCUUUAGUUUGCCUCCACAAGGUAAUAAUAAAGUCUGCAUACACUCUAUCCUCCUCACUCUAUCCUCCUCAGAUUUCAUUUUGUGAGAUUUCACUGAGUAUAUUGUUGUUAUAUUAAAAUUGAUUUGAUAUAAGUACUCCGUGUAAAUAAGUAUUUCCAGUGACAAGAAAUUGAGAGAGUAGAACACACUUUUCUUAGUCCAUUAUUUUGAUGUUGAAGCAAAUUUACAAGAGAAAUUAGAAAACCAAAAUAAUUAAAAACAACCAAACAAGACGGAAUUACAAUAUUUUGGCACAUUUUAAAAUUAAUAAUAAUUGCCAGUAUAGCUUAUAUUAAUUCUUAUUAUUAUGCAUUGCUUCUGAAUGAAUUAAUUGAUUUGGAUGCUCCAGCUCUCAAAAUAUAUUGAUGAUAUAUUGCAGCAAUUGCAGCACCAAUAAAAGGUCCAACCCAAAAAAUCCACUGCACCAUCAUACAAAAAAAAAAAAAUUAUAAUUUAGAAAAAGUAUUUUUUGAUGUAAAAAAUAAAAAAAAUAAAAAUUGCUUACUUGGUCAUCCCAUGAUUUAUUUUUGCCAUAAAUUACAGCAGCUCCAAAACUUCUAGCUGGGUUAAUACCAGUUCCAGUAAUUGGAAUAGUGGCCAAAUGAACCAUAAAUACAGCAAAUCCAAUUGGAAGUGGUGCCAAUACCUUUAAUCAAUUAAAAAAAUAUUAAUUUCUUAAUUGAUUAACUCAAGUUAAUUAUUAGUAAAAAGAAGCAUCAAUAGACAGGAAUUUAACUUGUAUACAUCAAAGGUGCAAAUAUAAGUCCUUGUGAUAAUUAAUUAUUGUAUUCUUUAGGUAAAUAGUUAUGUUUAUUUAAUUAGACUCAAUUGAAUAUAUUUAUUUUGAUUGGAUUCACGAUCCAAACUAUUUAUCUGACUGCUCCCUUGUUUUAAUCACUUAAUCACUGCUUCUUCAUCUUUGAUACGGUUAGAGUAUAUAUUUACACUGAUAGUAUCUAUACGCUCUGAUGAUAUCAAACAUUAAUUGAGCAGUCUUUUAAUUGAAACACUUCAUGUUCUUACUUGAUGCCAUCAGAGUAUAUAUACACUCUAAUAGUAUCAAGGAGUAACUGAAUGACGUUUUCCCUAAAGUACUACUUCUUCCUCUUUGAUGCCAUCAAACUAUAUAUACACUUUGAUGGUAUUAAACUGUAAACAUGCAUUAGUAAUUAAAAACAGAGAGUGUGAAAAUAGGGGUUAGCCGCUUGUAAAUAGUUUCCCUCAUUAGGGUACAAGUGUUCUUUUCCCUUUUGUUUUUUUGAUUUUCCACUUUGUAAUUCGGAUUCAUAUUGAAUCUCAACUAAAUUCAGAUCACGCACUGCAAGGCUCAUUCUAAAAGUGAUCUAUAAAAAUCUUUUACUGUACUAGUGUGUAAGGGCAAAGCUAGGGGGGGAUGCAAAAGGUUUAUCUGAAUGUUCUCUUGUCAGAAAAGUAUAUUGUGUAUAUAAGAUCAAAAUAUUGACAAAGAGUUUCCUAAAGACGAAUCAAAGCGACAAAAUAUCAAAUCUCAAUAAUUCAUGACAAUAAGAUCACUCUGCGGCUCGAAAAAAUUGUUAGAUAGUGUUGAAAACUUGUAUACUCACAGGAACAUGAGAGUCUCUGGCAUUUCUCUUGGGAUCGGUAGCAGAAAAAACAGUGUAAACAAGAACAAAAGUGCCAAUAAUUUCAGCACCUAAUCCAGUGGCUAUGUUGUAACCAACAGCAAGUUCAUUAGCACCACCACCAUACUUAACAUAAUAAGCCUUUUGAAAUAACUUCACUAAACCACAACCACAAAUAGCUCCUAAGCAUUGUGCUACUAUGUAAAAAAUUGCUCUCACUAAUGACACUUUUCUGGCCAACAAGAGUCCAAAUGUCACAGCAGGGUUAAUAUGUCCACCUGCAUAUACAAAAUCAUUAAAUUUAUCGUCCGUAACAUAAUUAAGUAAAUAAAAAUAUGCUCGCUCAGUCUGAUACUUAAGUUUUCAAAUUAGAUGGUUACAUAACUCAAAUCUUAUCACUACUUAUUAUCAGGAUUAUCAGGCUCACGUAUGAUAAAACAUUAUAAUAAAAGAAAAGUUUGAUAUAUAUAUUAAUACGAAAUGAUGAUCACAUAAUUUAACGUACCAGAAAUGCCAGCUGUGCAAUAAACAAGAACAAAAAUCAUGCCACCAAAGGCCCAAGCAAUGCCAAGAAUGCCAACACCACCACAUUGGUCACCAUCACUUUGGCUCUUGUAGCCAAUCACAGUGAGUACAGUAAUGUAUAGAAACAAAAGUGUGGCAAUAAAUUCAGCAAUAAUAGCUCUGUAAAAUGACCAUUUUCCAAGUUCCUCAGGGUCAAUAAGUGGUGCUGGAGGUGGGUCUUGGUAGUCUUUACUAGGGGCAUAUUGGUCAUUUCCAUACUCCAUAUCCUUUGCCAUUUGUAACUAAUAAAAAAAAUAAUUUGUUUUUUUUUUUUUGAGUUAGAGGGAAAUGUGUAAAAAUAAUUAAUUGUGGUGGAGUUGAUAGAGAGUGAAGAGUGGUAUUUAUAUAUGGAUUAGCUUGGAUUAAUUAAUUAAUUAGUGGAGUAUUAAUUAAACUCACUUUUUAGCCGCCCCAUUUUAAUUUCUUUUUUGUUAUAUUAAUUUUCAUGAUCAACAUAGCUCACCUUUUUAAAAGGGUCUGAUAUCUAACAAUAAGAUAACAUAUUCAGUAUAAUUUUAUAAACGAAAUAUAAAAAAGAAAAAUUGCACGUAAAUUUUUUUAUGAUUUUAAAGAUAAUAGUUAAGAAAUUUAUGAUAAAUUUACUCCAACUUUAAAAAGCUAAUUCAAUAAAUGAAAAUUAUUCGAGAUAUAUAAAUAAUAAUAAUAAAAAAAACAUCAAUACUCUAUGUGUGGGACUCAUCUUAUGUUAUAAUAAUAGCUUUUUUUUAUUUAUGAAAAAACAAGACAUAAUAUGAAAAUGUUAAAGUGAACCGCCCAUCUGUAUAAACCACAAAUUAAUAUUUGUUGAUAUAUAAUGACUCAUAUCACCGUUCAUUCCAACUCAGCCCAUAAUUAUUUUCUUAAUUAGAAUCAGUAAUAUAUAGCCAAUCAUUUGGUUUUAUUAAGGAAUUAAUAUGUGUUAUAAAGGCAUAUUAUAUAACGUUAUCUCCACGAGUUUAGAAAGAAUAAAAAGGAUGCUAUUAUUAGUGUAUUCGAUACGAAAAAAUAUUUUUAAUUUAACAAUAUUUAUAUAUAAUUUAAUAAAAAAUUAUACGAAGGGGAGAGUAAUCGGAGGUGGAAUGUUGGGCGCGUUGGAUGAAUAGGAUGAUACAUCAAACAUAAACUAUCAUUUGUAGAAUUUAUUUUUCUGAAGAAAAUGUUUUUCACAUUCUAUCUAAUUAAAUAUGAGAAAAUAAAAAAUUAUUUUUUUUCGUAUCAAAUAUAUCAUAAGUGGUUAUAGUGUCUCGAUGUGUAGAGCAACUAAGAUCAUAAUAACUUAGGAUUACGUUAAUCUAAAUUUAGUCCGAUUUCCAAACAUACAUUGAACACAAAAUUAAGAUCAUAGUAAUUUAGAAUUACGUUAAUAUAAAUUUAAAAACAAAUAUUAAACUAUUAAACACACACGAGUGAGUUGUAAAUAAAAAAUAGAAAAAAGUAUCAUAGUAAGGUGCUAUUGGUUUUGUGGACUCUAUUAAUUGGUCGGUUAUAAAUUGCAUUUCUAUAAUUAAAAAAAUUUAAACUCUCACUUAUUUUUUACUUUUUUUUAUUAGUUUUAUGAUUUAGGAUUAUGAGUGGAUUUAGUACUACUUCAUCUAAUUAUAUUAUAUGAUAUUGCUUGAUUAUAUAAGAGGUUAGAAAAUUACCUGCACAACAGUUGUAUUUUUAUAAGGCCACUCAAUAUUUGUGGUGGAAUUACAUUAUUUUAGUCAAUAUAAUUACAAUAUGUUUCACUUACUAUAUGGAUCUCCCAAUUACCAUUACAUUCUCUUUAGGCUUUCAAAAUUUUGACACUUAUCCAUUCCAUUAGUGAUAGUGGAAAAAUUAUAAGAGCAUUAAAAGUUUAAACAAUUAGUUUGAUAGAAAAAUAUUAAAUAUCACAUGAUCAAAGACUGAGUCUUGAAAGUUGUAAAAGUGUGUACUCUUUUGUCUUAAAUUAUUAAUCGUAAUUUUUAAAAAUAGUUAUAGCAGAUAAUUCAUUUUAGAAAUUUAAGAUAAAAUUGAUUUUUUUUUCUCAUUCUAUCAUUACUAAUUAUUUUUGAAUACUAUUAUAUAAUUUAGAUAUAGAGGUUAAGUACUUAAAAAGUUGUAUUAUAUGGAAUGGAAAAAAAAAAGUCAUUUUGAAAGAUCUUAAUUAGUAGCUAAACUGUUCGAUUAUUUAUCCAAAUUUUUAUUUUAUUGGUGAGGGUUCGAUUUUCACUUUAUAAUUCCUUCUUUCAAUCCUACCCACUUUAUAUUUUUUUUGAAUAUUUAUUUAAGUGAAAUAGAUCUAAAUUAAUAAUUUUUGUAUUGUAAGUGUUCAAGUAGCAAAAACUUCAAAAUUAAUUUUAUCCUAAUUAAUUUCCAUCGUCAAAUUACCAAUCAUUUAGGAACAAUAACUCAAGCACACAACAAAUAUUUUCCUAUUAAUAAUCUAAAGCAUUUAAUUAAUUAUUAAUUCAAAAGCAAAAAUGUACUACAAUAUGAAUUUGCAUGUCCAACCCAUGCAACCUUCAACACCUAAACUCAUCCAAUUGGGGCCUAAUUAAAACUUCAAUCUCUCGUAGAAACAAAUUUCGAGAAGAGUUUUACUUCAUAUUCUAUAUGCUGACAGUAUAAUAAAAAAUCAAACUAAGUAUCAUCAUCAGAUCCCUCGUUGAUCUCUUCCCUAAUAGUCUCCAAUCCGGACUUAUGCGUAGGCUUUCGUCGAUACGUUAUAAGGGCUGGGGCAACCUCCAUCCUGCAAGAAUGUACAUUUCUUGAUCCCUUUGUCAUAUUUGCAAGGAAAUUAAUUGAUCAAAUAACAACUUAAAAAUAGUGAUUUAAUUUAAUUAUUAGGAUAUGGUCCCUUUCCUCCUAUAGCUUUUAUGGAAGAAAAAGAGACCACAAUUUGAGUUUAUUAUUAUUUGUAAAUUGUUUUUAAUCUUCUGAUGAAU
RNAcentral lists this long non-coding RNA (30424 nucleotides) under Solanum lycopersicum (tomato). RNAcentral describes it as "long non-coding RNA (SLYC_LNC000838)". The record is from RNAcentral. Lineage: Eukaryota; Viridiplantae; Streptophyta; Magnoliopsida; Solanales; Solanaceae.